Molecule: non-coding RNA, 90 nt
Organism: Ricinus communis (castor bean)
Lineage: Eukaryota; Viridiplantae; Streptophyta; Magnoliopsida; Malpighiales; Euphorbiaceae
Source: Rfam
GGAGAGAUGGCCGAGUGGUUGAUAGCUCCGGUCUUGAAAACCGGUAUAGUUCGCAAAGAACUAUUGAGGGUUUGAAUCCCUCUCUCCUUU